This 253-nucleotide ribosomal RNA is filed under the name uncultured prokaryote. RNAcentral describes it as "partial 16S ribosomal RNA". It matches the Rfam family "Bacterial small subunit ribosomal RNA", at positions 525 to 777 of the family's 1533-position model. The record is from RNAcentral.
ACGGAGGGGGCGAGCGUUGUCCGAAUUCAUUGGGCGUAAAGCGCGUGUAGGCGGAUCUUAAAGCCUGGGGUGAAAUCCGGAAGCUCAACUUCCGAACUGCCCUGGGGACUUAGGGUCUGGAGGGAGGCAGAGGAGUGUGGAAUUCCUGGUGUAGCGGUGGAAUGCGUAGAGAUCAGGAAGAACACCCAUGGCGAAGGCAGCACUCUGGGCCUCUCCUGACGCUGAGACGCGAAAGCGCGGGGAGCGAACGGGA